Molecule: ribosomal RNA, 303 nt
Filed under: uncultured bacterium
Lineage: Bacteria
Description: bacterial SSU rRNA
Rfam family: Bacterial small subunit ribosomal RNA
Source: RNAcentral
UCGGGAAUAUUGCGCAAUGGAGGAAACUCUGACGCAGUGACGCCGCGUAUAGGAAGAAGGUUUUCGGAUUGUAAACUAUUGUCGAUAGGGAAGAAAAAAGACUGUACCUAUCAAGAAAGCUCCGGCUAACUACGUGCCAGCAGCCGCGGUAAUACGUAGGGAGCAAGCGUUAUCCGGAAUUAUUGGGUGUAAAGGGUGCGUAGACGGGAUGUCAAGUUAGUUGUGAAAUACCUCGGCUCAACUGAGGAACUGCAACUAAAACUAACAUUCUUGAGUGCAGGAGAGGAAAGUGGAAUUCCUAGU